RNAcentral lists this long non-coding RNA (253 nucleotides) under Elaeis guineensis (African oil palm). RNAcentral's name for it is "long non-coding RNA (EGUI_LNC078056)". The record is from RNAcentral. Lineage: Eukaryota; Viridiplantae; Streptophyta; Magnoliopsida; Arecales; Arecaceae.
GGACUACCAGUUGAUGGCGAUCCAGUUAUCGGAGUUGAUCCCACGCUUACCAUUCUGGAGUGGCAGGCUUUGUGCUUGCGAUUGCUAGGGUUUGAGCCCGACGUCUAGUUUUUCGAUCAUUCACGACUCAAGAUUGAGUGUUUGGAUGAUCGUUAUCGAUAUUUUUAUAUUGAGGAUGAUGUACCAGAGGAGAUGGUGCAGCAGUAUGUUAGGGGUCAGAUGCUGCGGUUGUUAGAUGGUAUCCUGUUACCCG